Molecule: ribosomal RNA, 492 nt
Filed under: uncultured bacterium
Lineage: Bacteria
Description: partial 16S ribosomal RNA
Rfam family: Bacterial small subunit ribosomal RNA
Source: RNAcentral
GAUGAACGCUAGCUACAGGCUUAACACAUGCAAGUCGAGGGGAAACGGCAUUGAGUGCUUGCACUCUUUGGACGUCGACCGGCGCACGGGUGAGUAACGCGUAUCCAACCUUCCCAUUACUGUGGGAUAACCUGCCGAAAGGCAGACUAAUACCGCAUAGUCUUCGAUGACGGCAUCAGAUUUGAAGUAAAGAUUUAUCGGUAAUGGAUGGGGAUGCGUCUGAUUAGCUUGUUGGCGGGGUAACGGCCCACCAAGGCUACGAUCAGUAGGGGUUCUGAGAGGAAGGUCCCCCACAUUGGAACUGAGACACGGUCCAAACUCCUACGGGAGGCAGCAGUGAGGAAUAUUGGGCAAUGGACGGAAGUCUGAACCAGCCAAGUAGCGUGCAGGAUGACGGCCCUAUGGGUUGUAAACUGCUUUUGUAUGGGGAUAAAGUUAGGGACGUGUCCCUAUUUGCAGGUACCAUACGAAUAAGGACCGGCUAAUUCCGUG